RNAcentral lists this non-coding RNA (297 nucleotides) under Ananas comosus (pineapple). The record is from Rfam by way of RNAcentral. Lineage: Eukaryota; Viridiplantae; Streptophyta; Magnoliopsida; Poales; Bromeliaceae.
CUCCAGCUGCUGCUGCUGCAGCAGCAGCAAGGUGCUGCUGCUGCUGUAGCACUGCUCGCAGCAGCAGCAAGGUGCUGCUGCUGCUGCUGAGCUACCAGCAGCAGCAGCAGCCUGCUGCUGCUGCUGCUGCUCCUGCUGCUGCUACUGUUGAGCUCCCAGCAGCAGCAGCUUCUUGCUGCUGCUGCUGCUGCUGCUGUUGAGCUCCCAGCAGCUGCUGCUGCUGCUGCUCAGCAGCAGCAGCAGCUGCUGAGCUGCCUGCUGCUGCUGCUACAGUAAUCGCAGCAGCAGCAGGCUGCC